Long non-coding RNA from Peromyscus californicus insignis, 304 nucleotides. RefSeq lists it as uncharacterized. The record is from RefSeq and is a predicted model, not a curated record. NCBI's taxonomy places the organism in Eukaryota, Metazoa, Chordata, Mammalia, Rodentia, Cricetidae. The transcript is spliced from 3 exons.
GUAAAACCAGGCUGCAGACGACCUGAAAGGAGGGUGAGCAGAGGCAGCCGGCAGUCAGAGGACUUCUAAAACAGCGUAAACUGGAGUCUCUUGGAAGGAAGAGCUAAGCAGGAAUACCGUAACGGGAGGUGAUGCAGAAACCAAAGGCAUUCCAGCAGAGAGCAUUGAGCCCUGGUGUGAAGAGAACGGCUUGGAAUCCUGGCUCUGUCAAUAGGAUAGUCAAGAAACGGAAGUGGGAUGAUCAUAAUUUCAAGAUCUGCCCAGGACACUGUGCGCUCAAGGUAACCAGAGCAUCUCAGUCGGA